Molecule: unclassified non-coding RNA, 359 nt
Filed under: uncultured fungus
Lineage: Eukaryota; Fungi
Description: sequence contains 5.8S rRNA gene
Rfam family: 5.8S ribosomal RNA (bases 1-53)
Source: RNAcentral
GAACGCAUAUUGCGCUCUCUGGUAUUCCGGAGAGCAUGCUUGUUUGAGUAUCAGUAAACACCUCAACUCCCCUUUCUUUUUUUGAAAUGGGAGCUGGACUUGAGUGAUCCCAACGCUUUUCUCACCGAAAAGUGGCGGGUUACUUGAAAUGCAGGGGCAGCUGGACUUUUCUCUGAGCUAAAAGCAUAUCUAUUUAGUCUGCCUAAAAAACAGAUUAUUACCUUUGCUGCAGCUAACAUAAAGGGAGUUUUGACCAUUAUGGCUGACUGAUGCAGGAUUUCACAGAGAAAAGGCCGGCAACGGUUUUGUCUCUGUCAAACUCGAUCUCAAAUCAAGUAAGACUACCCGCUGAACUUAAG